CGGACGGGUGAGUAACGCGUGGAAAACCUGCCGUAUACUGGGGGAUAACACUUAGAAAUAGGUGCUAAUACCGCAUAAGCGCACAGCUUCGCAUGAAGCGGUGUAGAAAAACUCUGGUGGUAUACGAUGGUUCCGCGUCUGAUUAGCUAGUUGGUGGGGUAAUGGCCUACCAAGGCAACGAUCAGUAGCCGGCCUGAGAGGGUGAACGGCCACAUUGGGACUGAGACACGGCCCAAACUCCUACGGAAGGCAGCAG
This 256-nucleotide ribosomal RNA is filed under the name uncultured bacterium. Its description in RNAcentral is "partial 16S ribosomal RNA". It matches the Rfam family "Bacterial small subunit ribosomal RNA", at positions 99 to 354 of the family's 1533-position model. The record is from RNAcentral.